RNAcentral lists this ribosomal RNA (255 nucleotides) under Acinetobacter baumannii. RNAcentral's name for it is "partial 23S ribosomal RNA". It matches the Rfam family "Bacterial large subunit ribosomal RNA", at positions 751 to 1004 of the family's 2925-position model. The record is from RNAcentral. Lineage: Bacteria; Pseudomonadati; Pseudomonadota; Gammaproteobacteria; Moraxellales; Moraxellaceae.
GUUGGGUAACACUAACUGGAGGACCGAACCCACUGUCGUUGAAAAGCCAGGGGAUGACUUGUGGAUAGGGGUGAAAGGCUAAUCAAGCCUGGUGAUAGCUGGUUCUCCCCGAAAGCUAUUUAGGUAGUGCCUCGGACGAAUACCAUAGGGGGUAGAGCACUGUUUCGGCUAGGGGGUCAUCCCGACUUACCAAACCGAUGCAAACUCCGAAUACCUAUGAGUACUAUCCGGGAGACAGACUGCGGGUGCUAACGU